RNAcentral lists this ribosomal RNA (508 nucleotides) under uncultured Glomeraceae. RNAcentral describes it as "SSU rRNA". It matches the Rfam family "Eukaryotic small subunit ribosomal RNA", at positions 569 to 1078 of the family's 1831-position model. The record is from RNAcentral. Lineage: Eukaryota; Fungi; Glomeromycota; Glomeromycetes; Glomerales; Glomeraceae.
AGCAGCCGCGGUAAUUCCAGCUCCAAUAGCGUAUAUUAAAGUUGUUGCAGUUAAAAAGCUCGUAGUUGAAUUUCGGGAUCAAUAUGUUGGUCGUGCCUUGGUACGUACUGGCAUUAUCGAUUCCUACCUUCUGAAGAACCUCGAUGUCAUUAAUUUGGUGUCUUGGGGAAUCAGAACUGUUACUUUGAAAAAUUAGAGUGUUUAAAGCAAGCUAACGCUUGAAUACAUUAGCAUGGAAUAAUGAAAUAGGACGUUCGAUCCUAUUUUGUUGGUUUCUAGGAUUGACGUAAUGAUUAAUAGGGAUAGUUGGGGGCAUUAGUAUUCAAUUGUCAGAGGUGAAAUUCUUGGAUUUAUUGAAGACUAACUACUGCGAAAGCAUUUGCCAAGGAUGUUUUCAUUAAUCAAGAACGAAAGUUAGGGGAUCGAAGACGAUCAGAUACCGUCGUAGUCUUAACCAUAAACUAUGCCGACUAGGGAUCGGAUGAUGUUUAAUUUUUUAAUGUACUCA